GCAGACCACGAAGAGAGAGAGAGAGAGAGAAGAAGAAGAAGAAGAACGACGAUUACGAAGCGAAGAAGAAGAUCGAUCUAGAGAAGAAGAUCGAAGCAAAACCACCCCAGAUUGAUGAAGAACAAAGACGAACAACAAGGCUUUGGUGCUACUGUGAAUGUUUCCAAAACACUGAAAGGCUCAACAGUGUUUGUUUUUGGAUUGGGAGCAGUAGGCCUAGCAGUGAGUUUCACUAGUUUCAAUCCAUAGUAUUUUGUAGUAUCCUUGUAAGCUACCACCAGUAUUUUGUAGUAUCUUUGUUGUGCCCAUUUUUUGGUGCCUUGAACUAUACAACCUCUCUGGUAGUACACAAUACCGCAUAGUAGCGUUGUCAGCAAUGAACCUUGUGUUGUUUUAGUGAUAAGGUUUAUCUUGUAAUUUGGAAGCUUCUACAACUGGUAUAAAUAUGGUAAUCGUCUGUGUUGCAUCAUUAAUGUAUCUCGGAAGAUUUUGAAAUGGGCAGAAAACCCUUGCGCGCAUAGUUGCCUAAAACUAUAGUUGGAUAUGAACCAUUGCCCAUUUGCAAAAUUGAUGGCAAAACUGUUCUAUGUGUCGUUAUAUUGUUUUCUGUGUUGAAGUUGAC
This is a long non-coding RNA of Rhododendron vialii, 622 nucleotides long. RefSeq lists it as uncharacterized. The record is from RefSeq and is a predicted model, not a curated record. The transcript is spliced from 3 exons. Lineage: Eukaryota; Viridiplantae; Streptophyta; Magnoliopsida; Ericales; Ericaceae.